RNAcentral lists this ribosomal RNA (450 nucleotides) under uncultured Glomus. Its description in RNAcentral is "SSU rRNA". It matches the Rfam family "Eukaryotic small subunit ribosomal RNA", at positions 569 to 1023 of the family's 1831-position model. RNAcentral also lists the same sequence under 1 other name. Lineage: Eukaryota; Fungi; Glomeromycota; Glomeromycetes; Glomerales; Glomeraceae. The record is from RNAcentral.
AGCAGCCGCGGUAAUUCCAGCUCCAAUAGCGUAUAUUAAAGUUGUUGCAGUUAAAAAGCUCGUAGUUGAAUUUCGGGAUCAGUACGCUGGUCGUGCCUUUGGUAUGUACUGGUGUCACUGAUUCCUCCCUUCUGAAGAACCGUUAUGCCAUUUAUUUGGUGUGGCGGGGAAUCAGGACUGUUACUUUGAAAAAAUUAGAGUGUUUAAAGCAGGCUCGCGCUUGAAUACAUUAGCAUGGAAUAAUGAAAUAGGACGUUUGAUCUUAUUUUGUUGGUUUCUAGGAUCGACGUAAUGAUUAAUAGGGAUAGUUGGGGGCAUUAGUAUUCAAUUGUCAGAGGUGAAAUUCUUGGAUUUAUUGAAGACUAACUACUGCGAAAGCAUUUGCCAAGGAUGUUUUCAUUAAUCAAGAACGAAAGUUAGGGGAUCGAAGACGAUCAGAUACCGUCGUAG